UUCAGGGCCCCCUGACCCCUUGGGCCCCUGGGCCUGGGCCCGGUAGGCCCGUGCAGUAAUCCAUCCCUGGUAGCAUGGGCCCCGGAGAUGUGAGUUCAGUUUACUGUGUCAGCCCGCCAUUCUCCUUGAGAUCAGACCAUCUCGGUUGGUUUAAUUGAUAUUAAUUAAUUUGCUAUUAAUUUAGCUGUAAAUGUCAGAUAACUGUAACAGCAAAUGAAAGACCUUGGUCUUGUAAUUUUUUUUCUUUCUUUCACAUCACAUUCAAAGGAUCAUAAAGCAUUACAGAUGAAGGGUAUCAUUAGACAUUUCACAGGACCAUUUCAGUCCUUCUCAUUCAACUCAGUUCUUUGUUUUGUAUCUGCAACUUAACAAUUCUUGUUUGCUGGACAGCAUAGUGUCUGUUAGCUGCACAUCUCAAAACUGGCAAGUAAAAAAGCAUUACAAGUAAAUCCAAUCAAAUCAUACCCUAAUGCCAAUUGUCUUUUAUUUUAUGGUACAGUUACAUGUAAAGGGUGAAAAAGUAACUUAUUCUUCAUACCGUAACUUUGACUCUGUUCUCUCUCCUUUCGUUCCUAGUUCCUGGCGUUGAGAAUGCUGUACCUACUAUAAGUGUCGACAGCCUACCUGUUCUACAGUAGAUCAUUUGGAUGCACAAAGCAUUACGACCCUUUGUGGAGAUGAUGGAUACACAUAUGUCAAGUGUGUGCUUUGCAGGCAUAACAAGCUGACGAGGAAAGGAGUGUGUGUUAAGCACAGCGGGUCUUGCCAGGCUGCCUCGCCAUCUGUCUUCUGGUUGGACAACAAUGACAAAGGCCUACAGUACUACAGACCUUUACCAGCAAAUGACCCAGUAUUCCUCAUGGGGCUCAAGUCCUCUCAUGUCUUCUAAAGUACUCUGCUUUUUGAUAGAUCUCUAUAACUUCAUUGUGCAAGUCUAGAGACAUGCAUGGUAAAGUGAAAUAAAGUUAUGCAGCAUUC
Long non-coding RNA from Alosa sapidissima (American shad), 978 nucleotides. RefSeq lists it as uncharacterized. NCBI's taxonomy places the organism in Eukaryota, Metazoa, Chordata, Actinopteri, Clupeiformes, Clupeidae. The record is from RefSeq and is a predicted model, not a curated record. The transcript has 3 exons.